This 497-nucleotide ribosomal RNA is filed under the name uncultured bacterium. RNAcentral describes it as "partial 16S ribosomal RNA". It matches the Rfam family "Bacterial small subunit ribosomal RNA", at positions 36 to 507 of the family's 1533-position model. The record is from RNAcentral.
UCCUCCCUCUGGCGGCGUGCCUAAUACAUGCAAGUUGAGCGAUGAAGCUUGGUGCUUGCACCAAUUUGAAGAGCAGCGAACGGGUGAGUAACGCGUGGGGAAUCUGCCUUUGAGCGGGGGACAACAUUUGGAAACGAAUGCUAAUACCGCAUAACAACUUUAAACAUAAGUUUUAAGUUUGAAAGAUGCAAUUGCAUCACUCAAAGAUGAUCCCGCGUUGUAUUAGCUAGUUGGUGAGGUAAAGGCUCACCAAGGCGAUGAUACAUAGCCGACCUGAGAGGGUGAUCGGCCACAUUGGGACUGAGACACGGCCCAAACUCCUACGGGAGGCAGCAGUAGGGAAUCUUCGGCAAUGGACGAAAGUCUGACCGAGCAACGCCGCGUGAGUGAAGAAGGUUUUCGGAUCGUAAAACUCUGUUGGUAGAGAAGAACGUUGGUGAGAGUGGAAAGCUCAUCAAGUGACGGUAACUACCCAGAAAGGGACGGCUAACUACGUG